GGCAAGAAGUUGCGGCGCCUAUCCAACAUUUUAGGUUGCCGUGAUCCUGAAUAUGUUUCACCUUCGAGAUCUAGUUCAUCCCAAAGAAAUACCCUAGACGAUUCAACUUCUUCGGGAGCUCGUAUGGACGAUGGUGACAUUACCUCGACAGCUCAUUUAGAGGAUGAUGUUGACACUCCAGAGGUUGCGGACGAAAUGACGUUGAAGACUUUCCAACGCUCCGCUUACAUGUUGAAGCCUAGGAAGGAAUUUAGGCGGUACUCACCGGAUGAUAUGCACACAAAGGAAAGAACCCGGUCGCCGGGGGCUCUCGUUUGUCAAGGAUGAGAAGCAUGGACGAUGAGGAUGACGAUGACGAUGACGAUGAGUUGGAUGAACCGGAGCCAUUUGUAGUUGUGAGAAGAAAGAAGCUAGCUUCUAAGAGGGGACGAGGCCCCAAGAUGUGAACCGGAGCCAUUUGAAGUUGUGAAUCAUUUGCACUUGUGGGUGUUGCACUUGUGUUGUGAACCACUUGCUUACCGCGGGUGUUGUGAACCAUUUGCUGUUAAUGCUAUGAAUUGUGGGUGUUGCACUUCUAAAAGGGUUUAAUGCUAUGAAUUGUGAACCAUUUGCUUACGAUGAUUUAUAUGCUGUCAAUUGCUGUCAAAA
Long non-coding RNA from Hordeum vulgare subsp. vulgare (domesticated barley), 648 nucleotides. RefSeq lists it as uncharacterized. NCBI's taxonomy places the organism in Eukaryota, Viridiplantae, Streptophyta, Magnoliopsida, Poales, Poaceae. The record is from RefSeq and is a predicted model, not a curated record. The transcript has 2 exons.